GACGAACGCUGGCGGCGUGCUUAACACAUGCAAGUCGAACGGAGUGGCGAACGGGGGAGUAAAACGUGGGUGACCUGCCCUGUACUUCGGGAUAAGCCUGGGAAACUGGUUCUAAUACCGGCUAUUGUGGGCUGGGCCGGCGGCUUAUUAGCUUGUUGGUGGGGUAAUGGCCUACCAAGGCGGCGACGGGUACCCGGCCUGGGAGGGUGGACUGCCACAUGGGGCCUGAGACACGGACCAGACGCCUACGGGGGGCAGCAGGGGGGAACAUUGUACAAUCGGGGGAAGCGUGAUGAAGAGACGCCGGGUGUGUGAUGACCGCCUUCGGGUUGUAAACUCCGUUCACCAUAGACGCGGUAGAUGCAGAAGAAGCACCGGCUAACUACGUGCCAGCAGCCGCGGUAAUUC
RNAcentral lists this ribosomal RNA (408 nucleotides) under uncultured bacterium. Its description in RNAcentral is "partial 16S ribosomal RNA". It matches the Rfam family "Bacterial small subunit ribosomal RNA", at positions 28 to 526 of the family's 1533-position model. The record is from RNAcentral.